GCUGGGCGUGGUGGCGGGCGCCUGUAGUCCCAGCUACUCGGGAGGCUGAGGCAGGAGAAUUGCUUGAACCCAGGAGGCAGAGGUUGCAGUGAGCCAAGAUCGCACCACUGCACUCCAGCCUGGGUGACAGAGUGAGACUCCGCCUCAA
Molecule: non-coding RNA, 148 nt
Filed under: Homo sapiens (human)
Lineage: Eukaryota; Metazoa; Chordata; Mammalia; Primates; Hominidae
Source: Rfam by way of RNAcentral